RNAcentral lists this ribosomal RNA (468 nucleotides) under uncultured bacterium. RNAcentral's name for it is "partial 16S ribosomal RNA". It matches the Rfam family "Bacterial small subunit ribosomal RNA", at positions 28 to 507 of the family's 1533-position model. The record is from RNAcentral.
GACGAACGCUGGCGGCGUGCUUAACACAUGCAAGUCGAACGGAAAGGCCCUGCUUUUGUGGGGUGCUCGAGUGGCGAACGGGUGAGUAACACGUGAGUAACCUGCCCUUGUCUUUGGGAUAACUUCAGGAAACUGGGGCUAAUACCGGAUAGGAGCUCCUGCUGCAUGGUGGGGGUUGGAAAGUUUCGGCGGUUGGGGAUGGACUCGCGGCUUAUCAGCUUGUUGGUGGGGUAGUGGCUUACCAAGGCUUUGACGGGUAGCCGGCCUGAGAGGGUGACCGGCCACAUUGGGACUGCGAUACGGCCCAGACUCCUACGGGAGGCAGCAGUGGGGAAUAUUGCAGAAUGGGCGGAAGCCUGAUGCAGCAACGCCGCGUGCGGGAUGACGGCCUUCGGGUUGUAAACCGCUUUCGCCGGUGACGAAGCGUGAGUGACGGUAAUGGGUAAAGAAGCACCGGCUAACUACGUG